AUUGAACGCUGGCGGCAGGCCUAAUACAUGCAAGUCGAGCGGACGAAGGAAAAUCGCUCCUGGAUUAUGCUGCGGACGGGCGAGUAAUUCAUAGGUAGAUGCCUGGCAGAUAGGGCUAAGGUCAGGUCACGGGCCCUAAUCCCGCACCCGUCCAGAGGGUGAACGGGAGGGAUCUUCGGACAACAAGCUACCUGCUGAGACUAGGGCGGAUUAGCUAGUUGGUGUGGUAAUGGCCUACCAAGGCGACGAUCCGUACCUGGUCUGAGAGGAUGAUCAGUCACACUGGAACUGAGACACGGUCCAGACUCCUACGGGAGGCAGCAGUAGGGAAUAUUCGGCAAUGGGCGAAAGCCUGAUCGAGCCACGCCGCGUGUGUGAAGAAGGUCUUCGGAUUGUAAAGCACUGUUAGUUGGGAGGAAGAGCAGUGAGUUAAUACCUGGCUAUUUUGACGUUACCAACUCAAAAAGCACCGGCUAACUUCGUG
Molecule: ribosomal RNA, 484 nt
Filed under: uncultured bacterium
Lineage: Bacteria
Description: partial 16S ribosomal RNA
Rfam family: Bacterial small subunit ribosomal RNA
Source: RNAcentral